RNAcentral lists this long non-coding RNA (1068 nucleotides) under Salvia miltiorrhiza (redroot sage). Its description in RNAcentral is "long non-coding RNA (SMIL_LNC010508)". Lineage: Eukaryota; Viridiplantae; Streptophyta; Magnoliopsida; Lamiales; Lamiaceae. The record is from RNAcentral.
ACACACAUAGCCAAUUUUGUGAACUCUUGUUUAGUUUGCCUCAAUUCUCUCUCUCUCACACACACAUCCACAUAGCAAAUUUUGUAAGCUCUUGCUCAGUUUGCAUCAAUUCUCUCUUUCACACACACACCCACACCAAAUUUUGUAAACUCUAUUUCAGUUUGCACCAAUUCUCUAUCUCACACACGCCGAGAAAAUUUUGCGAACUCUAGUUCAGUUUGCAUCAGUUCUCUCUCUCACAUCCACAUAGAAAAUUUUACAAACUCUUAUUAAGAAAGUGUUUGCAGAAACAGAUCUUCUUGGAAAAGCAGACAAGGUAAAGGAGUUGCAGCUAAUUACUAUCUUAAGAUGCUUAAUUCAACACAUAUUAAACUGUCUUGUGCAAUAAUGAAUUCAUAUCAUAGACUAUAUUAUCUAUAUUAAUAACAUUAAUGAACUCUAAUCAUUCUUUUGUAUAUUGUCUGUGGAUGUGCAGCUUAGUCUCUGGAGUUUUGUUUUUGACAGGGAACUGUGUUUUUGAAGUUAAAGCCGAGCAGCGAAGGUGAGGAUGAAUUUCGAUUCUGCUUGUUGAUCGUGUGUAGUGAAAUUUGAGAUUUUUCUUUUUUUCCUCUUUUUUUGGUGUUUCCUUUUGUACUAAUUGACAUGUUUGCCUAUAGAAAUCAAAAGCAUUUUCCUUGAGCGAGCGAACAAACUGCUUGACCAAAUGAUCUCCAUAGGUGCCAGCGUUAUUGCAUGUUUCAGCAAAAUGAGCCACAUGUUAUCUAGGAUUACCUUUUCCAUCGAAUUAUUGAAACUUGGGAGGCUGAUAGCCAAAAGGCAUCUUUAAUUGUUGAAACUUGUCUAGGAUAGUAUUUAUAUGUUUACCACAUUGUUAGAAUAUUUUAUGUUUGAAGAGACAUUGUUAGAAUAUUUACUACAUUCAACAAUAUUUUGGAAUAUGAAUACUAACCACCAAAUCUUUCAUGAGCUAACUAGUCAAAGUCAAAAGUGUCGGCAAAGAUUGAAAUAUAAAAAAUGAAAAAAGAAAAACCAUAUCUAGAAUGAAAGGCUGAACUCUUGAGGUUGCAU